UUUUUUUUAAAAAAAAAAAAUAUUUGAUUAAAAUAUAAUCCUCAGUAUAAAGUUUUAUUAAUUAAGUAAUCUUAGAAAUAGAAAUAAUUAAUGAUUAAUAGAUUAAAAUUGUGCCAGCAUUCCGCGGUUAUACAAUUUAUUUAAGUGAAUAAAUUUAUUAAUAAUAAUAAAUUAUAAAUGUUAAAAUUAAAUAUAUUAAAUUUAAGUGAAAUUUUUUUAUUAUAUUAGUUUAGUUUAUAUUUUUAAAGUUUAUUAAAACUUAAAUUUAAACUAGGAUUAGAUACCCUAUUAUUUAAGUCUUAAAAAAUUAUUAGUAGAGUAUUAAUAGUUAUUUUCUUUAAAAUCAAAAAAAUUGGCGGUAUUUUAUCUAAUUAGGGGAAUUUGUUUAUUAAAUGAUAAUCCGCGAGAAAUCUUACUUGUUUUAUUAAUAUAUGUCCUUCCGUUAUCAGAAUAUUUUAAAUUAAUAUAUAAUUUUCAAGAUUUUUAAUAAAAAUUAUUUCAGGUCAAAGUGUAGUUUAUAAAAAAGUUUAAAUGAAUUACAAUAAAUUUAUUUAUUAUGGAUUUUAAAUUGAAAUAUUUAAAUGGAGGGUGGACUUAAUAGUAAAAUAAAAUUAUUAUGUUUAUUUGAAAAAAGAUCUAAAAUAUGUCCAUAUCGCCCGUCGCUCUCAUUUUAAAGUGGGAUAAGUCGUAACAAAGUAGAUGUACUGGAAAGUGUUUCUAGAAAGUAU
RNAcentral lists this non-coding RNA (728 nucleotides) under Perga condei. Lineage: Eukaryota; Metazoa; Arthropoda; Insecta; Hymenoptera; Pergidae. The record is from RNAcentral.